Molecule: non-coding RNA, 28 nt
Filed under: Mus musculus (house mouse)
Lineage: Eukaryota; Metazoa; Chordata; Mammalia; Rodentia; Muridae
Source: RNAcentral
UGAAAUAAGGAAGCUUGCAGGAUUGUGU